RNAcentral lists this ribosomal RNA (253 nucleotides) under uncultured bacterium. RNAcentral describes it as "partial 16S ribosomal RNA". It matches the Rfam family "Bacterial small subunit ribosomal RNA", at positions 524 to 776 of the family's 1533-position model. The record is from RNAcentral.
UACGUAGGAGGCGAGCGUUGUCCGGAAUCACUGGGUGUAAAGCGCGUGUAGGCGGCCUGCCAAGUCUGCUGUGAAAGCGCCUGGCUUAACCGGGCGAGGUCGGUGGAAACUGGCGGGCUGGAGGCCGGUAGAGGGGGGUGGAAUUCCCGGUGUAGUGGUGAAAUGCGUAGAGAUCGGGAGGAACACCAGUGGCGAAGGCGGCCCCCUGGGCCGCGCCUGACGCUGAGACGCGAAAGCGUGGGGAGCGAACAGG